CCUACGGGAGGCAGCAGUGAGGAAUAUUGGUCAAUGGGCGGGAGCCUGAACCAGCCAAGUCGCGUGAGGGAAGACGGUCCUAUGUAUUGUACACCUCUUUUGUCGGGGGGCAAAAGCCGCCACGCGUGGCGUUACGAGAGUACCCGAAGAAAAAGCAUCGGCUAACUCCGUGCCAGCAGCCGCGGUAAUACGGAGGAUGCGAGCGUUAUCCGGAGUUAUUGGGUUUAAAGGGUGCGCAGGCGGAAGAUCAAGUCAGCGGUAAAAUGGCGGGGCUCAACCCCUUCCGGCCGUUGAAACUGGUUUGCUCGAGUGAGCGAGAAGUAUGCGGAAUUCGUGGUGUAGCGGUGAAAUGCAUAGAUAUCACGCAGAACCCCGAUUGCGAAGGCAGCAUACCGGCGCUCAACUGACGCUCAGGCACGAAAGUGUGGGUAUCGAACAGGAUUAGAUACCCGAGUAGUC
Molecule: ribosomal RNA, 459 nt
Filed under: uncultured bacterium
Lineage: Bacteria
Description: partial 16S ribosomal RNA
Rfam family: Bacterial small subunit ribosomal RNA
Source: RNAcentral